Molecule: transfer RNA, 72 nt
Filed under: Penaeus vannamei (Pacific white shrimp)
Lineage: Eukaryota; Metazoa; Arthropoda; Malacostraca; Decapoda; Penaeidae
Description: transfer RNA tryptophan (anticodon CCA)
Rfam family: tRNA
About the family: Transfer RNA (tRNA) molecules are approximately 80 nucleotides in length. Their secondary structure includes four short double-helical elements and three loops (D, anti-codon, and T loops). Further hydrogen bonds mediate the characteristic L-shaped molecular structure. tRNAs have two regions of fundamental functional importance: the anti-codon, which is responsible for specific mRNA codon recognition, and the 3' end, to which the tRNAs corresponding amino acid is attached (by aminoacyl-tRNA synthetases). tRNAs cope with the degeneracy of the genetic code in two manners: having more than one tRNA (with a specific anti-codon) for a particular amino acid; and 'wobble' base-pairing, i.e. permitting non-standard base-pairing at the 3rd anti-codon position.
Source: Rfam by way of RNAcentral
GACCCCGUGGCGCAAUGGCAGCGCGUCUGACUCCAGAUCAGAAGGCUGGGUGUUCGAGUCACUCCGGUGUCA